CCUACGGGGGGCUGCAGUGGGGAAUAUUGCGCAAUGGGCGAAAGCCUGACGCAGCGACGCCGCGUGAGGGAUGAAGGUCUUCGGAUCGUAAACCUCUGUCAGCAGGGAAGAACGGUCACUGUGCUAAUCAGCAGUGAAUUGACGGUACCUGCAAAGGAAGCACCGGCUAACUCCGUGCCAGCAGCCGCGGUAAUACGGAGGGUGCGAGCGUUAAUCGGAAUUACUGGGCGUAAAGCGCUCGUAGGCGGUAUGUCAAGUCAAGGGUGAAAUCCCCGCGCUCAACGUGGGAACUGCCUUUGAAACUGGCAAACUGGAGUGGGUGAGAGGAUAGUGGAAUUCCAGGUGUAGGAGUGAAAUGCGUAGAUAUCUGGAGGAACAUCAGUGGCGAAGGCGACUAUCUGGCACAUAACUGACGCUGAGGAGCGAAAGCGUGGGUAGCAAACAGGAUUAGAUACCCGAGUAGUC
RNAcentral lists this ribosomal RNA (465 nucleotides) under uncultured bacterium. RNAcentral's name for it is "partial 16S ribosomal RNA". It matches the Rfam family "Bacterial small subunit ribosomal RNA", at positions 338 to 795 of the family's 1533-position model. The record is from RNAcentral.